Molecule: ribosomal RNA, 433 nt
Filed under: uncultured bacterium
Lineage: Bacteria
Description: partial 16S ribosomal RNA
Rfam family: Bacterial small subunit ribosomal RNA
Source: RNAcentral
AACGAACGCUGGCGGCAUGCCUAACACAUGCAAGUCGAACGAGACCUUCGGGUCUAGUGGCGCACGGGUGCGUAACGCGUGGGAACCUGCCCUUAGGUUCGGAAUAACUCCCCGAAAGGGGUGCUAAUACCGGAUAAUGUCUUCGGACCAAAGAUUUAUCGCCUUUGGAUGGGCCCGCGUUGGAUUAGCUAGUUGGUAGGGUAAAAGCCCACCAAGGCGACGAUCCAUAGCUGGUCUGAGAGGAUGAUCAGCCACACUGGGACUGAGACACGGCCCAGACUCCUACGGGAGGCAGCAGUGGGGAAUAUUGGACAAUGGGCGAAAGCCUGAUCCAGCAAUGCCGCGUGAGUGAUGAAGGCCUUAGGGUUGUAAAGCCCUUUUACCCGGGAUGAUAAUGACAGUACCGGGAGAAUAAGCUCCGGCUAACUCCGUG